GACGAACGCUGGCGGCGUGCUUAACACAUGCAAGUCGAACGAAGAGCGAUGGAAGCUUGCUUCUAUCAAUCUUGGUGGCGAACGGGUGAGUAACGCGUAAUCAACCUGCCCUUCAGGGGGGGACAACAGUUGGAAACGAUUGCUCAUACCGCAUACGAUCUCAUCUCGGCAUCGGGGAGAGAUGAACGGUGGCCUCUACAUGUAAGCUAUCACUGAAGGUGGGGAUUGCGUCAGAUUCGCUAGAUGGCGGGGUCACGGCCCACGAUGGUGAUGAUCAGUAGCCGGUCGGAGAUGAUGAACGGCCGGAUUGGGACUGAGACACGGCACAGACUGCUACGGGAGGCAGCAGUGGUGAUACUUGCGCAAGGGAUGAAAGUUAGACGGCGCAACGCGGAAGCAGUGAGGACGGACGCCGGGUGGGAAAGGUCUGCCAUUCGGGUCGAAAGGCCUUCUUGCGAAGAGGGAGAGUGAGUGACGGUAACGGAAUAGAAAGCAACGGCUAACUACGUG
RNAcentral lists this ribosomal RNA (510 nucleotides) under uncultured bacterium. RNAcentral describes it as "partial 16S ribosomal RNA". It matches the Rfam family "Bacterial small subunit ribosomal RNA", at positions 28 to 507 of the family's 1533-position model. The record is from RNAcentral.